GAAAUAAGAAAGGCCUGGCUUCUAACCGGAACCGAAAGCGAAUUAAAUCGUUUAUAUUUCU
RNAcentral lists this transfer RNA (61 nucleotides) under Sagra femorata. RNAcentral describes it as "tRNA-Ser". Lineage: Eukaryota; Metazoa; Arthropoda; Insecta; Coleoptera; Chrysomelidae. The record is from RNAcentral.